GAUGAACGCUGGCGGCGUGCCUAAUACAUGCAAGUCGAGCGAACGGACGCGAAGCUUGCUUUUCUGAUGUUAGCGGCGGACGGGUGAGUAACACGUGGAUAACCUACCUAUAAUACUGGUAUAACUUCGGGAAACCGGAUCUAAUACCGGAUAAUCUUUUGAACCGCAUGGUUCAAAAGUGAAAGACGGUCUUGCUGGCACUUAUAGCUGGAUCCGCGCUGCAUUAGCUAGUUGGUAAGGUAACGGCUUACCAAGGCAACGAUGCAUAGCCGACCUGAGAGGGUGGUCGGCCACACUGGAAGUGAGACAGGGUCCAGACUCCUAAGGGAGGCAGCAGUAGGGAAUCGUACGCAAUAGGCGAAAGCAUGACGGAGCAACGGGGAGUGAGAGAUGAAGGUCUUGGGAUCGUAAAACUCUGUUAUUAGGUAAGAACAGAUGUGUAAGUAACUGUGCACAUAUUGACGGUAACGAAUCAGAAAGCAACGGCUAACUACGUG
This 497-nucleotide ribosomal RNA is filed under the name uncultured bacterium. RNAcentral's name for it is "partial 16S ribosomal RNA". It matches the Rfam family "Bacterial small subunit ribosomal RNA", at positions 28 to 507 of the family's 1533-position model. The record is from RNAcentral.